Molecule: long non-coding RNA, 4946 nt
Organism: Ailuropoda melanoleuca (giant panda)
Lineage: Eukaryota; Metazoa; Chordata; Mammalia; Carnivora; Ursidae
Exons: 4
Source: RefSeq, a predicted model, not a curated record
GCGGGUGAGAACACAGAGACGGUGAAGGUAGAAGCUCUUUCAAGAAGGAAAAGCAAAUAAGGGAGAGGCUGAAGACCCGGAGAAGAUGGGAGAGGACGGGAUAGACCUUGGACAGGAAGAGGACUGCCUCCUCCCUUGCAACUAAAGGGAAGAAGCCAAAGAUGAUUGCCAAGAUAGAUUUGAAUGUUACAUGGCAGAAAUAGAGGGUGUUACUAUCUUGGGGCUUAUUUUUUCAUAGUCAUAUUGAAGAGAAGCUGAGUCUAGGUGGAUGAAUCAGCCCUUGGCCCCCAUCCCUCCAUUAGAACUGCUCUUGUCAAGGUCACCAUGACCUCCAAUGUUACUGAAGGUUAAAACUCUCAGCCCUCAUCUUACUCAUUAGCAACAUUGGACACAAUUUAUCAUUUUCCGUUCCCUGCAACACUGUCUUUCCUAGCUGUAUCAGGUAUACUUCCUGCAUUACUUCACACUCUCUGGGCCCCCAUUCUACUCUAGCCAUUGCUCUGGGAAAGAGUUGCAUGAAGGUUUCAACCAGGGUUGUGCUUGUGUGAGCUGACCAUGUCUUGCGUAUCUUGCUCCCUACCCUGGGGUGUCUCCAACACCAUGGAGUGGAACACCCUGCAGAAACCGGGUGGAACUAACUCUUGCACGAUCCAGAAAUGCAGGGGAGUUAACAUUCCUUGGAGCAAUCUCUGACCAGCCAAGGAUAGGAGCCAAGGGCUGGACCUGAAGCCAAGAGACCUGGAGAAAGCGAGGAAUGCUCAAAGCUUUUCAGAGACCGCUGGAUGAGAGGCCUGACUGGAGACUAAUAUCUGGGAAUCAGAAGUGCCAUCAUGAUCCUCCGCUUGGAGUAGGAGCUAGUAGAGGUCAUGUGAUAAAUUGAGUUUAGGGCCAAGUCCCCUUUGUGGUUCAAAGGCUCUUGUCAUGUCUGCAGUUCCUGAGUGUGUAAUUAGAAUCAGUUUACUUAGCAGGUGGCAGAAGCCUCAAUCUGAUUCCCUGACCUGUGGAGUAAGAGCUACGUAGUAGAAAGGGCUGCCUCCCUGGGUCAAGACAAUAUCAGAAGUGACACUACAUCCCAGGGAGAGUUGCUAGGGUUACCCGUGAAGAUUGAAAGUUGCAGUGCUAGUGGUCUCCAGGACACCCCUGUGCAUUCCACCUGUCUGGUGAAAUGCAAUGGACCAUGGUGGACAUAGCAGACAUGGCAGCACCUGAAGUUCUUCUUUGGAGGGUGGCCCUCGCAUUACAGAGGACUGCUUUGCCUGCAGGAGAUGCAAACUGGAAAUGCCUGAGAAUUUCUUUUCUCCACUAAGGUCCCAACUAUGGGGCAACCGAUCUGGAGCUUGGGCCAAAUGAGGAAGCAUAAUCUGAAGGCAUAAACACUGGGGCAUCUCUGGAAAGCCCUUUGGAGGGUUGCAUGGUAGAUAUCAACAGUUCUGGAGCAAGGUCCUGCCUUUGUGACAGAGAAUCACUUGUCAUUUGUAAAUUAGCUCCUGGAGGUGCUGCUUGGCCCUUGUAGAGAUUGAGCACUUGACUGGAGGUCAUGAAGUGACUGUGCCAAUGGAACUGUUCAUCAUUAUCUGGAUCCUGAGUCAUAAAGCUGGGUGGGCAUGGUAGCAAUCCAUUGUGUGAUGAAAUGGUACAUUUGCGAUCGGGCCAAGUAUAUUCAGGACUGUGUCCGGAAGGCAUAAGUAUAAUAUAGAAACACAUAGCCCAGAUGUCCAUGGCAUUCACCUUUGUUGCACCAAUACCUCUCCUUCAACUCACACCGAUGACAUCAUGGAGCAGAGGUGGGGAAGGUACAACCUACUUUCAGGAAAAAAUGCAGGCUUAGUUCACAGAUGGGUUUGCACGAUGUGUUGGUGUCAGCCUAAAGUCAUUGGAGAAGGAAACUUCUUGCAGUAGGGAUAGCUUGGAGCGGUAUGCUCUUGAUUGUUCAAUUUGUGUGGAGCCAGACUUGCUCUGAGAGGUAUGGGUAUCCACACACUUUUGGGCAGAAACAAAUAGCUUCACUAUUUGUCAGGAGGCUGGAAUGAGUAAAACUAGAAGAUUGGAGACCCAGAGGUCGGGAAGGGGCAUAUGGAUGGACCUUUGGAAAUGGGCACAAAGCAUCCCUGUGUCUCACAGGGAUGUCCACCAGCCAGAAGUCACUGCAGAGGAAAGAGCUGACAGCUGGUCCUGUGCCUGCCAGGCAGCUUCUUUCCUUGGCCACCUAGCGCUGGUGCCGGUCAGUGAAAUGGGGACAGGUGCGUGUGGGAGAACACAGUGGCAAAAAUGGAUCCUAAGCCUGGGGCGAGUAGCUUGGACGUCCUCUCACCAAGUCUUACCUCGCUACGGCCAUUUAUACUUGAUAUCCUCCAUCUCUUUCCACUUUCAUAGAAGCUCCACGCAUGUAGGCUUUUUGUCUUCUGUUCAUCAUCCAUCGCCUAGAUGGAUACCUUGCGUAGAAGAUGGUUUCAGUACAUGUUUGUUGAAUGAAUGGUAUGAUUUGCUUAUGCAGCCAUCGAUCUCAAGAGGACAAUCUGGGUGGGAGAAACAGCUGAGGUAGGGACCAGGAAGCAAGAAUUUUCAGGCUUUGCUUAAGGAGUAAUGACUGUUUUGUUCAGAAUAAUUUGACCUGCAAAUUACUUUUUCUGCAGAACAUUUUUGUCAAUUUCACUGUAUGACAGUUUAUAAUCUGAAUGUUUUCAAAGGAAUGAAGGUAGAAUUAAACCUGUGGGAAUUACAUCUUGGCACCUACCAAAACUUUGUCCAACUUCAAACAGGCUUCCAGAAUAUCUCCUACCACUUUCUGACUGAAAAUACGAUGUCAUUAGAUGACUAAAUUGGACAAAGUACCCUGCUAUUAAGGGAAACAUAUCCUUUUCCUGUAUCUCUCGGAUUGGCUCAUACCAUUUCUCCAAACAUGCUAAUUAUUUACUUCUCCAUAUUGCCGGUGCUAACAAUUCCUUAAGAUAUAAUUUUAGAACUUUAAUAAAGAAAACGAAAACAAUUUUUAAGGUUAAAAAAAAAUUAAAAACAGAAGACAAAAUCCAAGCUCCUAUAACUUCUUAACUAGUUUCUGGAAUCCACGAGUAGAUGAUAGAUGUGAUAAGCCAUAGCAAAUUCUUUCAUGACAGUGUCUGUCAAAUGUUCUACGGACUUGGAACAAAUCUGUCUUCUAUUUAUUUUUACUCAGUGACGAUCUCAGCUUCACAUUGUUCAGAAAACACAAGGUCAAUUUGCAUACCUUGCAGAGCUCCAUUUCUGUCAAAAAUUUAGCACACGGGCUCAAGAUCUAUCGUCUGAUAAGAAGCGGAUUCUAUGUCCUGCUAGGUUGGUGUUGCUCUUUGAGUCUGAGAGCUCGUUGGCCAUCUUGGAGGAUGACAUGAUCGCUGACCUCCUGUAGUGAUGCCUUGGAUGGAGGCUGUGCUUCCAAACUGUUUUCUUCCUCUCUGGUUCCCUCUCUUUCUAACUCAGCGAGCCAGUUAAUCCCUGGGACUCCUGGGAAGACUUACCACAUCUCCCUUUCCAUUCCCCUUCUUGCAAAUGAAUGUGGACGAGAGUUAUUAAUCCGAGGGUUAUUUCUUGAGGUAACUCUAGUACCUUCCAAUAUAAAAGUAGGUGGAAGCUUCUGAGGCCUUCGGCAGCCUGGUUGAGUCAGAGGUGAUGGCAAAAUAGGACGGAACAAGGAUGAUAGGUAACACUUGUAACGUUUCUCUGAUAGGAAGAAGCACAUCUCAUCACUUUUAUGGCAUUGAAUGGAAAUUUUUGCAGCUGUGGCAUAUCUGUGGAUACCACACAAAUUCUUAUGUACAUUUACUUCAAAAGGAAAGCUCAUGUCACUUCAAUGUGCUUGUUGGUUGGUAUGGUUCUCUUUACCUUGGCUAAGGCCCUGAAGAGCAAAGGGUCUUCCUUUUGCACUGAGGAGCUGUCAAUGGAUCAUUCAGUAUGGAAAAAUAAUUUCUGUAGCUAGAGCACUUCUGUGUAUUUUUGCUUGGUUAUGUAAGCUGCUUUGGAAAUACGAAAGUAAUAAGGCAAAUUGUCCACUGUUGUUGCAAAGGAGCAGUUCCUGCUUCAUGUCCAAGCGUUCUGAACAGAGAGCUCCAGGGAGAUCACUAACAUCUAGAUCAACCUGAUUUAGUUUAUAGGUUUGGUUUGGUUUGACUAAGAGACGAAUACCUAACUUCUUCUGCUAUCCCGUUCUUAUACCGCACAGACUGGAGGUAUUUCUGUAAAACAAUCAAUAUCUGUGUAGAGUUUUGUUUAUCAGCCAACUGAACAAAUGGAAAAAUAUUAUUGGUUACUCACUUGCUUAUUGCUAACUGGCUUUCUUGUUAGUCAUGGAGAAUAUAUUGUUAGCCAUGGAGAGUACACACACACACACACACACACACACACACACGUGUGUGUGCAUAGUCUCAUGUCCAUUUUAAAGCUUUAAUGCUAGAGGUGAAUGCUGGGAUUAUGCAGUCCAAUUCAUUUAUUUCACAAGUGGGGAAAUUAAUUCCAGCAGGAUUUAAAUGAUUUGCGCAAUACUAUAGAACCAAUCGGCCAGAAGGUCCGAAUUAGGACCCAGGCUUCCUGACUCUGUUCCAUGAUGUUUAUCUCCUUGCUACACAGUCUCCAAUCUAUGGGCAGUGAAAAUGGAAACCAUGGCCUCAGAUGACUUAAUUCUUCGAUUAGCCUUCUUAUAUCAUGAUGCUGUUAGGUCAAUAAAGAUAUAAGCAUUCAUCCCCGUAAUUACCUCUCCUUUCUCAUCUCUGCUUUUGGAUGUAGAGUAAAUGUCCUCGGCAUCCAUCAGAUUGUGGCUCAUCUCUUAGGCAUUAGUGAUAACAACAUUCAAGGUUUAGAAUUUAAGACAGAUGAGAUCCAGAAAUAUUUCUCUGGUGAGAGCCUUUAUAAGAAUAAUGAUUUUUGAUAUAAUAACUGUUAGCAUAGCUGUUAUCAAACAUGAUGACACACUAAUAAAA